Molecule: transfer RNA, 63 nt
Filed under: Frankliniella occidentalis (western flower thrips)
Lineage: Eukaryota; Metazoa; Arthropoda; Insecta; Thysanoptera; Thripidae
Description: tRNA-Gly
Source: RNAcentral
AUGUAUCUAUUGUAAAGAGCAAGAUUAUUUUCCAAAUAAUAAGUUGGUUAAACCAGUUACAUU